RNAcentral lists this transfer RNA (79 nucleotides) under Nostoc sp. CMAA1605. Its description in RNAcentral is "tRNA-Met". It matches the Rfam family "tRNA". Rfam says of the family: Transfer RNA (tRNA) molecules are approximately 80 nucleotides in length. Lineage: Bacteria; Bacillati; Cyanobacteriota; Cyanophyceae; Nostocales; Nostocaceae. The record is from RNAcentral. RNAcentral also lists the same sequence under 1 other name.
UGCAGUGUAGCUUAACUAACGGCAAAGCCCCAAGCUCAUAACUUGGUAAAUGUGGGUUCAACUCCCACCACUGCGACCA